CCUUCCCUUCCCUUCCCUUCCCUUCCCUUCCCUUCCCUUCCCUUCCCCUCCCCUAUUAGAUGUCCCCACCAUGUAAUUCCCAUUCCUCACUUUGCUCUCACACUCAGACCUUCUCCCCUCUUCUCUUCCAGCCACCGUGCAUCUCGUGCCCUGCCAGAUGGUCUCCAAGGAAGCCGCAGUCCCUGCCCCGACCCUCUGGGUGCUGCAGGGACAGAAGGAAUAUUUCUUCGGAGAUGUUGUCACGCUGGUGUGCACCACUCCCCGCAACAUCACUGGGAGGCUGAUGUACCAAAUUUUUGGCGACGGUGGCUGGGCAAAUUCAGGAUUUAGCUCGACGAAUAACUACACGUUUGAGUUCGUCCUCUCCCGAAUGCAAAACAGGGGGCCACAUCUCUGCAGAUAUUCCAUCGGGCAAGGUCCGAAGCAGCUCACAUCCCCAACCAGUGCAGAACUGGUGAUCAAGAUUGGAGAUGCUUCGUUUCUGUGUGGAGCCAGCCCUGCUGGGAUCUCCCAGCUGGAUGCCAGAUCCCCAUACACCCUUCAGGAGGAUAAUAAGUACGAGGAACACUAAGGAGAGGAAGGUGCUGUGAGCGAUUCCACCCCCUAAAGACUGCUCCCUGCUGAAGACAUCCCAAAAGACUGGUGUGCAGCCAAACGAGUGCUCAGCUGUGGGAAAAGAAAGCAAGAAUCGGUUCCUGGGAGGACGAAAGAAGUAGAAAAGGGACAUUUCACUUGGUAAAGGGGAGGGAGGAGACACCGACGUUGUUGGGAAGGGUGAUUGUGAAAGAGAAAAUGAAGGAAGACCAGGAAUAAAAAUGGAAAUUGUGAGAAAAAAAAAAAAAAA
RNAcentral lists this long non-coding RNA (844 nucleotides) under Anas platyrhynchos platyrhynchos (common mallard). RNAcentral's name for it is "lncRNA (ENSAPLG00000019869.1)". Lineage: Eukaryota; Metazoa; Chordata; Aves; Anseriformes; Anatidae. The record is from RNAcentral.